RNAcentral lists this ribosomal RNA (775 nucleotides) under Escherichia coli. RNAcentral's name for it is "bacterial LSU rRNA". It matches the Rfam family "Bacterial large subunit ribosomal RNA", at positions 2168 to 2925 of the family's 2925-position model. Lineage: Bacteria; Pseudomonadati; Pseudomonadota; Gammaproteobacteria; Enterobacterales; Enterobacteriaceae. The record is from RNAcentral.
ACGCCAGUCUGCAUGGAGCCGACCUUGAAAUACCACCCUUUAAUGUUUGAUGUUCUAACGUUGACCCGUAAUCCGGGUUGCGGACAGUGUCUGGUGGGUAGUUUGACUGGGGCGGUCUCCUCCUAAAGAGUAACGGAGGAGCACGAAGGUUGGCUAAUCCUGGUCGGACAUCAGGAGGUUAGUGCAAUGGCAUAAGCCAGCUUGACUGCGAGCGUGACGGCGCGAGCAGGUGCGAAAGCAGGUCAUAGUGAUCCGGUGGUUCUGAAUGGAAGGGCCAUCGCUCAACGGAUAAAAGGUACUCCGGGGAUAACAGGCUGAUACCGCCCAAGAGUUCAUAUCGACGGCGGUGUUUGGCACCUCGAUGUCGGCUCAUCACAUCCUGGGGCUGAAGUAGGUCCCAAGGGUAUGGCUGUUCGCCAUUUAAAGUGGUACGCGAGCUGGGUUUAGAACGUCGUGAGACAGUUCGGUCCCUAUCUGCCGUGGGCGCUGGAGAAUUGAGGGGGGCUGCUCCUAGUACGAGAGGACCGGAGUGGACGCAUCACUGGUGUUCGGGUUGUCAUGCCAAUGGCACUGCCCGGUAGCUAAAUGCGGAAGAGAUAAGUGCUGAAAGCAUCUAAGCACGAAACUUGCCCCGAGAUGAGUUCUCCCUGACUCCUUGAGAGUCCUGAAGGAACGUUGAAGACGACGACGUUGAUAGGCCGGGUGUGUAAGCGCAGCGAUGCGUUGAGCUAACCGGUACUAAUGAACCGUGAGGCUUAACCUUACAACGCCGAAG